Molecule: ribosomal RNA, 719 nt
Filed under: fungal sp.
Lineage: Eukaryota; Fungi
Description: eukaryotic LSU rRNA
Rfam family: Eukaryotic large subunit ribosomal RNA (bases 495-719)
Source: RNAcentral
UUACUGAGUGAGGGCCCUCUGGGUCCAACCUCCCACCCGUGUUUAUUGUACCUUGUUGCUUCGGUGCGCCCGCCUCACGGCCGCCGGGGGGCUUCUGCCCCCGGGUCCGCGCGCACCGGAGACACUAUUGAACUCUGUCUGAAGAUUGCAGUCUGAGCAUAAACUAAAUAAGUUAAAACUUUCAACAACGGAUCUCUUGGUUCCGGCAUCGAUGAAGAACGCAGCGAAAUGCGAUAACUAAUGUGAAUUGCAGAAUUCAGUGAAUCAUCGAGUCUUUGAACGCACAUUGCGCCCCCUGGUAUUCCGGGGGGCAUGCCUGUCCGAGCGUCAUUGCUGCCCUCAAGCACGGCUUGUGUGUUGGGCUCCGUCCCCCCGGGGACGGGUCCGAAAGGCAGCGGCGGCACCGAGUCCGGUCCUCGAGCGUAUGGGGCUUUGUCACCCGCUCUGUAGGCCCGGCCGGCGCCAGCCGACAACCAAUCAUCCUUUUUUCAGGUUGACCUCGGAUCAGGUAGGGAUACCCGCUGAACUUAAGCAUAUCAAUAAGCGGAGGAAAAGAAACCAACAGGGAUUACCUCAGUAACGGCGAGUGAAGCGGUAAGAGCUCAAAUUUGAAAGCUGGCUCCUUCGGGGUCCGCAUUGUAAUUUGCAGAGGAUGUUUCGGGAGCAGCCCCCAUCUAAGUGUCCUGGAACGGACCGUCAUAGAGGGUGAGAAUCCGUAU